GAUGAACGCUGGCGGCGUGCCUAAUACAUGCAAGUAGAACGCUGAAGGAGGAGCUUGCUCUUUCCGGAUGAGUUGCGAACGGGUGAGUAACGCGUAGGUAACCUGCCUGGUAGCGGGGGAUAACUAUUGGAAACGAUAGCUAAUACCGCAUAACAGUAGAUAUUGCAUGAUAUUUGCUUGAAAGGGGCAAUUGCUCCACUACCAGAUGGACCUGCGUUGUAUUAGCUAGUUGGUGAGGUAACGGCUCACGAAGGCGACGAUACAUAGCCGACCUGAGAGGGUGAUCGGCCACACUGGGACUGUGACCCGGCCCAGACUGCUUGGGGAGGCAGCAGUAGGGAAUCUUCAGCAAUGGACGGAAGUCUGACCGAGCAACGCGGCGUGAGUGAGGAAGGUUUUCGGAUCGUAAAGCUCUGUUGUAAGAGAAGAACGAGUGUGCGAGUGGAAAGUUCACAGUGUGACGGUAUCUUACCAGAAAGGGACGGCUAACUACGUG
This 496-nucleotide ribosomal RNA is filed under the name uncultured bacterium. RNAcentral's name for it is "partial 16S ribosomal RNA". It matches the Rfam family "Bacterial small subunit ribosomal RNA", at positions 28 to 507 of the family's 1533-position model. The record is from RNAcentral.